CCCUGUGGCUCAGUUGGUAGAGCAUGGUGUUUGCAACGCCAGCAUGGUGUGUGCAAUGCCAGGGUUGUGGGUGCAAUUCCCACUGGGG
This 88-nucleotide transfer RNA is filed under the name Salmo salar (Atlantic salmon). It matches the Rfam family "tRNA". Rfam says of the family: Transfer RNA (tRNA) molecules are approximately 80 nucleotides in length. Their secondary structure includes four short double-helical elements and three loops (D, anti-codon, and T loops). Further hydrogen bonds mediate the characteristic L-shaped molecular structure. tRNAs have two regions of fundamental functional importance: the anti-codon, which is responsible for specific mRNA codon recognition, and the 3' end, to which the tRNAs corresponding amino acid is attached (by aminoacyl-tRNA synthetases). tRNAs cope with the degeneracy of the genetic code in two manners: having more than one tRNA (with a specific anti-codon) for a particular amino acid; and 'wobble' base-pairing, i.e. permitting non-standard base-pairing at the 3rd anti-codon position. Lineage: Eukaryota; Metazoa; Chordata; Actinopteri; Salmoniformes; Salmonidae. The record is from Rfam by way of RNAcentral.